GAGUAGCUCUAGGGGUGUUGCAUCGGUUUGCAACUGAAAUUAAACCCUCAAAACUUGAUCUGGAUAAUACCAGCGGAAGGAACGAGAUAAUGUAUAAAU
This 99-nucleotide non-coding RNA is filed under the name Fidelibacterota (SAR406 cluster). Its description in RNAcentral is "Candidatus Marinimicrobia TPP sequence". It matches the Rfam family "TPP riboswitch aptamer (THI element)". From Rfam's summary of the family: Vitamin B(1) in its active form thiamin pyrophosphate (TPP) is an essential coenzyme that is synthesised by coupling of pyrimidine and thiazole moieties in bacteria. The previously detected thiamin-regulatory element, thi box was extended, resulting in a new, highly conserved RNA secondary structure, the THI element, which is widely distributed in eubacteria and also occurs in some archaea. Lineage: Bacteria; Pseudomonadati. The record is from RNAcentral.